GGGCGCGUAGCUCAGUGGUAGAGCACUGUGUUCACAUCGCAGGGGUCGCUGGUUCAAUCCCAGCCGCGCCCACCA
This 75-nucleotide transfer RNA is filed under the name Alphaproteobacteria bacterium. RNAcentral describes it as "tRNA-Val". It matches the Rfam family "tRNA". From Rfam's summary of the family: Transfer RNA (tRNA) molecules are approximately 80 nucleotides in length. The record is from RNAcentral. Lineage: Bacteria; Pseudomonadati; Pseudomonadota; Alphaproteobacteria. RNAcentral also lists the same sequence under 3 other names.